ACCUGGCUGGCUGGGUUGGAAGAGCAUGGGACUCUUGAUCUCAGGAUCAUGAGCUCAAGUCCCAUGUUGGGUG
Molecule: transfer RNA, 73 nt
Filed under: Mustela putorius furo (domestic ferret)
Lineage: Eukaryota; Metazoa; Chordata; Mammalia; Carnivora; Mustelidae
Rfam family: tRNA
About the family: Transfer RNA (tRNA) molecules are approximately 80 nucleotides in length.
Source: Rfam by way of RNAcentral